UCUAGAACCAGCUAGCACCGCCUUUUCUCCUCCGAUCUAUUUUCGUUCUUCCCACUAUGAGUGACGCCGGUCACUGUGAUGGAGGAGCCCUCCUCUUCCGCCGUUGCAUGAGUGGGUUAAGAAUGUUGGACUUCAUCAUCUCCCCUGGUCCGCGACACAGAUCGCUCCACCUCGCUCGCAGUCUAGCUCGUCUUCGCUGCUUCCGUCCAUUGUUGUUGAGAAAUUCCACUGGGAUUUGGAGAGAGAAAAUUUUGGCUGGAGUAAAAAAGGAAGGGUUGAAGCUUUAAAGGGUGAAUUUUGUGUUGGGAACAAUGCGGAUGGUAUAGUUGAACUCGUGACUCGAGAUAUCCACUGAGGAGUUUUAUUGCUGAAUUGAAGCAGAAGAAUUAUUUUAGUCAAAUCUUAAUUUGAUAAAAAUUUAAAUUUUAUCCCUACGUUGACGUCUGGCCUUAGGUGCUCCACGUAGACUAUAGGUAAGAUCCUCACAUUUUUUAAAUUGAAUAUCUGAUUUAAUAUUGUAACAGUUUUUAAUUACUCUAUUAGUGUAUUUAAUUUAUUAAUUUCAGAAUUUUUUCGAUCA
Molecule: long non-coding RNA, 580 nt
Organism: Prosopis cineraria
Lineage: Eukaryota; Viridiplantae; Streptophyta; Magnoliopsida; Fabales; Fabaceae
Exons: 3
Source: RefSeq, a predicted model, not a curated record